CGAAGGAUGCAAGCGUUAUCCGGAUUCAUUGGGUUUAAAGGGUGCGUAGGCGGACUUGUAAGUCAGUGGUGAAAUCUCUCAGCUUAACUGAGAAACUACCAUUGAUACUGCAGGUCUAGAGUAUAGAUGACGUUGGCGGAAUAUGACAUGUAGUGGUGAAAUACUUAGAUAUGUCAUAGAACACCGAUUGCGAAGGCAGCUAACGAAACUAUAACUGACGCUGAGGCACGAAAGUGCGGGGAUCAAACAGGAUUAGAUACCCUGGUAGUCCGCACCGUAAACGAUGAUUACUCGUUGUUGGCGAUAUGACAGUCAGCGACCAAGCGAAAGCGAUAAGUAAUCCACCUGGGGAGUACGCCGGCAACGGUG
Molecule: ribosomal RNA, 369 nt
Filed under: uncultured organism
Description: bacterial SSU rRNA
Rfam family: Bacterial small subunit ribosomal RNA
Source: RNAcentral